This 1441-nucleotide ribosomal RNA is filed under the name metagenome. Its description in RNAcentral is "bacterial LSU rRNA". It matches the Rfam family "Bacterial large subunit ribosomal RNA", at positions 1465 to 2925 of the family's 2925-position model. The record is from RNAcentral.
UGUGGGGACACGUAAGGAAAGCGGAAGCCGGGAAUGGAAAGCCCGGUGCAAGCGGGGUACCAGCCACUCUGGCAAAUCCGGGUGGCAAUGGGAAGCCGUGAUGCGGAGUGAAAUAAAGUAACGAAGUCCGUGAGCCAUGCGUCAAGAAAAGCCGCUAUUGUUUAUACCGUACCCGUACCGUAAACCGACACAGGUGGAUGAGGAGAGAAUCCUAAGGCCGGCGGAAGAAGCAUUGUCAAGGAACUCGGCAAAAUGGCCCCGUAACUUAGGGAUAAGGGGUGCCUGGGAAACCAGGCCGCAGAGAAUAGGCUCAAGCAACUGUUUAGCAAAAACACAGGUCUAUGCGAAACCGAAAGGUGAGGUAUAUGGGCUGACGCCUGCCCGGUGCUGGAAGGUUAAGAGGAGAGGUUAGCGCAAGCGAAGCUUUGAAUUUAAGCCCCAGUAAACGGCGGCCGUAACUAUAACGGUCCUAAGGUAGCGAAAUUCCUUGUCGGGUAAGUUCCGACCCGCACGAAAGGCGUAAUGAUUUGAGCGCUGUCUCGACAAUGCAUCCGGUGAAAUUGAAGUACCAGUGAAGAUGCUGGUUACCUGCGCCAGGACGGAAAGACCCCAUGGAGCUUUACUCUAGUUUGGUACUGGGACUCGGUAUUGCAUGUACAGGAUAGGUGGGAGGCUGAGAGACAGUAACGCCAGUUAUUGUGGAGCCGCUGUUGGGAUACCACCCUUGCAGUAUUGGGUUUCUAACCAGCCGCCGUGACCCGGCGGUGGGACAAUGCCAGACGGGGAGUUUGACUGGGGCGGUCGCCUCCGAAAGGGUAUCGGAGGCGCCCAAAGGUUCCCUCAGAAUGGACGGAAACCAUUCGAAGAGUGCAAAGGCAGAAGGGAGCUUGACUGCGACACCGACGGGUGGAGCAGGUACGAAAGUAGGGCUUAGUGAUCCGUUGGUAUUAAGUGGGAAUGCCAUCGCUCAACGGAUAAAAGCUACCCUGGGAUAACAGGCUUAUCACUCCCAAGAGUUCACAUCGACGGAGUGGUUUGGCACCUCGAUGCCGGCUCAUCGCAUCCUGGGGCUGUAGUAGGUCCCAAGGGUUGGGCUGUUCGCCCAUUAAAGCGGUACGCGAGCUGGGUUCAGAACGUCGUGAGACAGUUCGGUCCCUAUCCGGCGUGGGCGUAGGAUAUCUGAGAGGAGCUGUCCUUAGUACGAGAGGACCGGGAUGGACGGGCCGCUGGUGCAUCGGUUAGACUGCCAAGUCUACGGCCGAGUAGCCAAGCCCGGAAGGGAUAAACGCUGAAGGCAUCUAAGCGUGAAGCCCCCCUUAAGAUGAGAUAUCCCAUUCGAAAGAAGUAAACCCCCUUGAAGACGACGAGGUAGAUAGGGCAGAGGUGGAAGUGUGGCAACACAUGGAGCUGACUGUUACUAAUCGGGUGAGGGCUUGACCAG